RNAcentral lists this non-coding RNA (32 nucleotides) under Rattus norvegicus (Norway rat). The record is from RNAcentral. Lineage: Eukaryota; Metazoa; Chordata; Mammalia; Rodentia; Muridae.
UGUAAUGCCUUGCACUGAAGACUCUUCAGGGC